Molecule: ribosomal RNA, 405 nt
Filed under: uncultured cyanobacterium
Lineage: Bacteria; Bacillati; Cyanobacteriota
Also listed under: 2 other names
Description: partial 16S ribosomal RNA
Rfam family: Bacterial small subunit ribosomal RNA
Source: RNAcentral
UGGGGAAUUUUCCGCAAUGGGCGAAAGCCUGACGGAGCAAUACCGCGUGAGGGAGGAAGGCUCUUGGGUUGUAAACCUCUUUUCUCAGGGAAGAAAAAAAUGACGGUACCUGAGGAAUAAGCAUCGGCUAACUCCGUGCCAGCAGCCGCGGUAAUACGGAGGAUGCAAGCGUUAUCCGGAAUGAUUGGGCGUAAAGCGUCCGCAGGUGGCUAUGUAAGUCUGCUGUUAAAGAGCAAGGCUCAACCUUGUAAAGGCAGUGGAAACUACAUGGCUAGAGUGCGUUCGGGGCAGAGGGAAUUCCUGGUGUAGCGGUGAAAUGCGUAGAGAUCAGGAAGAACACCGGUGGCGAAAGCGCUCUGCUAGGCCGCAACUGACACUGAGGGACGAAAGCUAGGGGAGCGAAUG